CCUACGGGGGGCUGCAGUAAGGAAUAUUGGUCAAUGGACGCAAGUCUGAACCAGCCAUGCCGCGUGGAGGAUGAAGGUCCUCUGGAUUGUAAACUUCUUUUAUUUGGGAAGAAACUCCCGAUUUCCAUCGGGAUUGACGGUACCAGAUGAAUAAGCCCCGGCUAACUCCGUUCCAGCAGCCGCGGUAAUACGGAGGGUGCAAGCGUUAUCCGGAUUCACUGGGUUUAAGGUGGGCAUAGAUGUCCAUGUUGAAAUCUCCGGGCUUAACCCGGAAACUGACAGUGAUACUAUGUGUCUUGAAUACUCUGGAGGUGAGCGGAAUAUGUCAUGUAGCGGUGAAAUGCUUAGAUAUGACAUAGAACACCCAUUGCGAAGGCAGCUCACUACGGAAAUAUUGACGCUGAGGCACGAAAGCGUGGGGAUCAAACAGGAUUAGAUACCCCAGUAGUC
Molecule: ribosomal RNA, 450 nt
Filed under: uncultured bacterium
Lineage: Bacteria
Description: partial 16S ribosomal RNA
Rfam family: Bacterial small subunit ribosomal RNA
Source: RNAcentral